RNAcentral lists this ribosomal RNA (1486 nucleotides) under Companilactobacillus paralimentarius. RNAcentral describes it as "bacterial SSU rRNA". It matches the Rfam family "Bacterial small subunit ribosomal RNA". Lineage: Bacteria; Bacillati; Bacillota; Bacilli; Lactobacillales; Lactobacillaceae. The record is from RNAcentral.
GAACGCUGGCGGCAUGCCUAAUACAUGCAAGUCGAACGAACCAUCCUGAUGAUUGAAGCUUGCUUCAUGAUUCAGAUCUUGGUGAGUGGCGGACGGGUGAGUAACACGUGGGUAACCUGCCCAGAAGUGGGGGAUAACAUUUGGAAACAAGUGCUAAUACCGCAUAACAACUUAGAUCACAUGAUCUUUGUUUAAAAGAUGGUUUUGCUAUCUCUUCUGGAUGGACCCGCGGCGUAUUAGCUAGUUGGUGAGGUAAUAGCUCACCAAGGCGAUGAUACGUAGCCGACCUGAGAGGGUAAUCGGCCACAUUGGGACUGAGACACGGCCCAAACUCCUACGGGAGGCAGCAGUAGGGAAUCUUCCACAAUGGACGAAAGUCUGAUGGAGCAAUGCCGCGUGAGUGAAGAAGGUUUUCGGAUCGUAAAACUCUGUUGUUGAAGAAGAAUAUAUGUGAGAGUAACUGUUCACGUACUGACGGUAUUCAACCAGAAAGCCACGGCUAACUACGUGCCAGCAGCCGCGGUAAUACGUAGGUGGCAAGCGUUGUCCGGAUUUAUUGGGCGUAAAGAGAAUGUAGGCGGUUUAUUAAGUUUGAAGUGAAAGCCCUCGGCUCAACCGAGGAAGUGCUUCGAAAACUGGUAAACUUGAGUGCAGAAGAGGAAAGUGGAACUCCAUGUGUAGCGGUGGAAUGCGUAGAUAUAUGGAAGAACACCAGUGGCGAAGGCGGCUUUCUGGUCUGUAACUGACGCUGAGAUUCGAAAGCAUGGGUAGCAAACAGGAUUAGAUACCCUGGUAGUCCAUGCCGUAAACGAUGAGUGCUAAGUGUUGGAGGGUUUCCGCCCUUCAGUGCUGCAGCUAACGCAUUAAGCACUCCGCCUGGGGAGUACGAUCGCAAGAUUGAAACUCAAAGGAAUUGACGGGGGCCCGCACAAGCGGUGGAGCAUGUGGUUUAAUUCGAAGCAACGCGAAGAACCUUACCAGGUCUUGACAUACCAUGAAAAGCUUAGAGAUAAGUCUUUCCCUUCGGGGACAUGGAUACAGGUGGUGCAUGGUUGUCGUCAGCUCGUGUCGUGAGAUGUUGGGUUAAGUCCCGCAACGAGCGCAACCCUUAUUAUCAGUUGCCAGCAUUCAGUUGGGCACUCUGGUGAGACUGCCGGUGAUAAACCGGAGGAAGGUGGGGACGACGUCAAAUCAUCAUGCCCCUUAUGACCUGGGCUACACACGUGCUACAAUGGUCGGUACAACGUGCUGCGAACUCGCGAGGGCAAGCAAAUCACUUAAAACCGAUCUCAGUUCGGAUUGUAGGCUGCAACUCGCCUACAUGAAGCUGGAAUCGCUAGUAAUCGCGGAUCAGCAUGCCGCGGUGAAUACGUUCCCGGGCCUUGUACACACCGCCCGUCACACCAUGAGAGUUUGUAACACCCAAAGUCGGUGGGGUAACCCUUCGGGGAACUAGCCGCCUAAGGUGGGACAAAUGAUUAGGGUG